RNA transcript from Cyclopterus lumpus (lumpfish), 2393 nucleotides. It is a transcript of the gene named zinc finger protein aebp2-like, with no coding region annotated. The record is from RefSeq and is a predicted model, not a curated record. The transcript is spliced from 10 exons. NCBI's taxonomy places the organism in Eukaryota, Metazoa, Chordata, Actinopteri, Perciformes, Cyclopteridae.
GGGAUCUGACCCAGCCCUUCUUCUGCAGUGAGGCGUUUUUCGGUGCUCGGGGCGAAUCUCAAUACCGUAAGUGACUCACGACGCGCCGCUGAAAUGGCUGCCGCGGCUACAGAAGAAGCGACCGCACUGGGUGUUGAGAACGACGCACCGUCCGCGGAGACACCAAACGAGAGCAACCGUGAGGAGAGAGACGAGGGCCCCUGCGAACCGGAAACGGGGGAACCGGGCAGGAGCGCAGCACCGAAAAUAGAAGCGGUGGACGCGGAGGCCGGCGAAGAGAAGCCCGCUGUCGCGGCAGACAAGGCCGCGAGCGAGGCGGUGACAGACGACAGCGCUGUGGCGGUGAACCGGGAGGCGACGGACGCUCCGGGAGAACCGGAGCAGAAGACGGAGCUGCUGGAAAGGCCGGGAGGCGGAAACGAAGAACACGCCCCCGAUAAUGCAUCGAAAGAAGCGAAGGAGGAACCGGGAGAGGGCGGCCGGUGUUCGGGGAUAAACUGCGAAAAGAGCAAAACAGUUAGUGAAGAUGGGGAGAAGCCCGGCGGCGGGGCGCUGGGCGACAAGAGGCGGCCGAGCGUGGAGAUCUCCUCCUCGGACGGUGAACCGCUGAGCCGCAUGGACUCGGAGGACAGCAUCAGCAGCACCCUGAUGGAGAUGGAGAGCACCGUGUCGAGUGGGCGCUCCACCCCUGCUAUGAUGAACGGGCAGAGCAGCGUCGGCUCCUCUGGGGCUAAGACGGUGGCUUACCCCUGCUGCUGGGACCUCUGUCCGCAGUGCUUCAACUCCAGUCCGGAUCUGGCAGAGCACAUCCGAGGCAUUCAUGUGGAUGGACAGAGAGGAGGGGUGUUUGUGUGUCUGUGGAAGGGUUGUAAAGUGUAUAACACACCGUCCACCAGUCAAAGUUGGCUCCAGAGACACAUGCUGACCCACAGCGGAGACAAGCCCUUCAAGUGUGUAGUUGGUGGCUGCAACGCCAGCUUUGCCUCCCAAGGAGGGUUGGCUCGCCAUGUCCCGAGCCACUUCAGCCAGCAGAGCUCCUCCAAAAUGUCCAGCCAGGCCAAACUCAAGGAAGACUCACCCUCCAAGGCGGGACUCAACAAGAGGAAGAAACUCAAGAACAAACGCAGGUGCUCCCUACCGAGGCCCCACGACUUCUUCGACGCCCAAACCAUGGAUGCUAUUCGGCACAGGGCCAUCUGUCUUAACCUCGCCACCCACAUCGAAAGUGUGGGCAACGGCCACAGUGUGGUCUUCAACAGCACGGUGGUAGCCAAAAGGAAAGAGGGUUCUGGCAAGGUGAAGAUCCUCCUACAUUGGACACCUGAGGACAUACUACCUGACGUAUGGGUGAAUGAAACGGAGCGAUCUCAGCUGAAGUCCAAAGUGGUGCACUUAUCCCAGUUACCGCAGGACGCUGCCAUGCUGCUAGACCCAAACAUCUAUAGUGCAUCACGUUCCACUAAACAUUAACUACGAUGAUAUUUGAAUCCUGUGCUGACGUGGUCGACUCAUCACCGAGAUGAAAAAACAAGAGCACUUCCUCAAAAGCAGCUGAAGCGCAGCCUGUAAAGAGUCAUCUGUGGACUUGAUACUGAAGGGAAACGCUUGUUCAUAGGAGCUUUAUCUAUAUGGGAUGCGACGCUCUUCAUCUGUCUCAGCUGAACGGGGCCGAGUGAAGUGCCGAUAAAAGGAAAUGAAACUUGGCAAUGCUGCAGAUUUUUUUUCUCUCUUCAGUUUUGUAUAUCUGAACUGUUGUAGCCAAGCGUUUUUUUUUUAAAAGUUUGUGUUCAUCAAAAAUUCAAAUUAAUGUUUUUUUUUUAACAAGCCGCAAACUAAAAAAUAUUCUUAAUACCCAAUUGUGUAAAAAUAUGUUUUGUGUAACUAUGUCAGAAAAUACAGCAUAUUUUAUAACUGUUUUUGUGUAAACUAUUUAUGCAGAUUUUUAACUUAUUUUUAUACCAUAAAAAUGCUGAUGUAAUGUGGAUUUUUGUGAAAGUUUUAAACAGAACCGUAUUUACUGUGAUAAUCAAUGUUAACUGUCACUUGAAGGCAUAUUUGGACAUUUCUAGUUGUAACUAAGCUGUACAUGACAGAAGUCUUAUCCUAUUUAUACCUCCAGAAUGCAGUACUUUGUAAAUGACGAUGAAGACUGAGGUUGUGCCAGGCAUAAUCUUAAUCUUACCCAGUGUGUAGACAGUCAGCAUAGAAAGGACUAACAUUUCAUCACACACUCCAAGUGUAAAUCACAACUUCCUCUUCCCCAAGUAACAUAAACUGUGUAUAUCAUAGUUGGUGUGUCACAUUACUGCUAUUUAAGCACUCAAAAGUUAUUGUUCAAAUAAAGUUGUUUUCUACUGUAGUGGAAUACUCUGUAAUAAAACGAGGGAAACGAC